Molecule: ribosomal RNA, 252 nt
Filed under: uncultured bacterium
Lineage: Bacteria
Description: partial 16S ribosomal RNA
Rfam family: Bacterial small subunit ribosomal RNA
Source: RNAcentral
UACGUAGGGUGCGAGCGUUGCCCGGAUUUAUUGGGCGUAAAGGGCGCGUAGGCGGCCACGCACGUCCGUUGUGAAAUCGCCCGGCUCAACUGGGCGGGGUCAGGGAUACGGUGUGGCUCGAGCAAGCUAGGGGGCAAUGGAAUUCCCGGUGUAGUGGUGGAAUGCGUAGAUAUCGGGAGGAACACCUGUGGCGAAAGCGGCUCACUGGACCACAACUGACGCUGAGGCGCGAAAGCUAGGGGAGCAAACAGG